This 500-nucleotide ribosomal RNA is filed under the name uncultured bacterium. RNAcentral describes it as "partial 16S ribosomal RNA". It matches the Rfam family "Bacterial small subunit ribosomal RNA", at positions 30 to 523 of the family's 1533-position model. The record is from RNAcentral.
AUUGAACGCUGGCGGAAUGCUUUACACAUGCAAGUCGAACGGCAGCACGGACUUCGGUCUGGUGGCGAGUGGCGAACGGGUGAGCAAUGUAUCGGAACGAGCCCAGUCGUGGGGGAUAACGUAGUGAAAAUUACGCUAAUACCGCAUACGAUCUAUGGAUGAAAGCGGGGGAUCGCAAGACCUCGCGCGAUUGGAGCGGCCGAUAUCAGAUUAGGUAGUUGGUGGGGUAAAGGCCCACCAAGCCAACGAUCUGUAGCUGGUCUGAGAGGACGACCAGCCACACUGGAACUGAGACACGGUCCAGACUCCUACGGGAGGCAGCAGUGGGGAAUUUUGGACAAUGGGCGAAAGCCUGAUCCAGCCAUUCCGCGUGCAGGAUGAAGGCCCUCGGGUUGUAAACUGCUUUUGUACAGAACGAAAAGGUUUCUACUAAUACUAGGAGCUCAUGACGGUACUGUAAGAAUAAGCACCGGCUAACUACGUGCCAGCCGCCGCAGUAA